This 121-nucleotide ribosomal RNA is filed under the name Corynebacterium pyruviciproducens. Lineage: Bacteria; Bacillati; Actinomycetota; Actinomycetes; Mycobacteriales; Corynebacteriaceae. The record is from RNAcentral.
GUGUCGGUGGCGAUAGCGGUUGGGAAACGCCCGGACCCAUUCCGAACCCGGAAGCUAAGCCAACCCACGCCGAUGGUACUGCACCCGGGAGGAUGUGGGAGAGUAGGACACCGCCGACCAC